GGUUAAGCGACUAAGCGUACACGGUGGAUGCCCUGGCAGUCAGAGGCGAUGAAGGACGUGCUAAUCUGCGAUAAGCGUCGGUAAGGUGAUAUGAACCGUUAUAACCGGCGAUUUCCGAAUGGGGAAACCCAGUGUGAUUCGUCACACUAUCAUUAACUGAAUCCAUAGGUUAAUGAGGCGAACCGGGGGAACUGAAACAUCUAAGUACCCCGAGGAAAAGAAAUCAACCGAGAUUCCCCCAGUAGCGGCGAGCGAACGGGGAGCAGCCCAGAGCCUGAAUCAGUGUGUGUGUUAGUGGAAGCGUCUGGAAAGGCGCGCGAUACAGGGUGACAGCCCCGUACACAAAAAUGCACAUGCUGUGAGCUCGAUGAGUAGGGCGGGACACGUGGUAUCCUGUCUGAAUAUGGGGGGACCAUCCUCCAAGGCUAAAUACUCCUGACUGACCGAUAGUGAACCAGUACCGUGAGGGAAAGGCGAAAAGAACCCCGGCGAGGGGAGUGAAAAAGAACCUGAAACCGUGUACGUACAAGCAGUGGGAGCACGCUUAGGCGUGUGACUGCGUACCUUUUGUAUAAUGGGUCAGCGACUUAUAUUCUGUAGCAAGGUUAACCGAAUAGGGGAGCCGAAGGGAAACCGAGUCUUAACUGGGCGUUAAGUUGCAGGGUAUAGACCCGAAACCCGGUGAUCUAGCCAUGGGCAGGUUGAAGGUUGGGUAACACUAACUGGAGGACCGAACCGACUAAUGUUGAAAAAUUAGCGGAUGACUUGUGGCUGGGGGUGAAAGGCCAAUCAAACCGGGAGAUAGCUGGUUCUCCCCGAAAGCUAUUUAGGUAGCGCCUCGUGAAUUCAUCUCCGGGGGUAGAGCACUGUUUCGGCAAGGGGGUCAUCCCGACUUACCAACCCGAUGCAAACUGCGAAUACCGGAGAAUGUUAUCACGGGAGACACACGGCGGGUGCUAACGUCCGUCGUGAAGAGGGAAACAACCCAGACCGCCAGCUAAGGUCCCAAAGUCAUGGUUAAGUGGGAAACGAUGUGGGAAGGCCCAGACAGCCAGGAUGUUGGCUUAGAAGCAGCCAUCAUUUAAAGAAAGCGUAAUAGCUCACUGGUCGAGUCGGCCUGCGCGGAAGAUGUAACGGGGCUAAACCAUGCACCGAAGCUGCGGCAGCGACGCUGAUGCGUUGUUGGGUAGGGGAGCGUUCUGUAAGCCUGCGAAGGUGUGCUGUGAGGCAUGCUGGAGGUAUCAGAAGUGCGAAUGCUGACAUAAGUAACGAUAAAGCGGGUGAAAAGCCCGCUCGCCGGAAGACCAAGGGUUCCUGUCCAACGUUAAUCGGGGCAGGGUGAGUCGACCCCUAAGGCGAGGCCGAAAGGCGUAGUCGAUGGGAAACAGGUUAAUAUUCCUGUACUUGGUGUUACUGCGAAGGGGGGACGGAGAAGGCUAUGUUGGCCGGGCGACGGUUGUCCCGGUUUAAGCGUGUAGGCUGGUUUUCCAGGCAAAUCCGGAAAAUCAAGGCUGAGGCGUGAUGACGAGGCACUACGGUGCUGAAGCAACAAAUGCCCUGCUUCCAGGAAAAGCCUCUAAGCAUCAGGUAACAUCAAAUCGUACCCCAAACCGACACAGGUGGUCAGGUAGAGAAUACCAAGGCGCUUGAGAGAACUCGGGUGAAGGAACUAGGCAAAAUGGUGCCGUAACUUCGGGAGAAGGCACGCUGAUAUGUAGGUGAAGUCCCUCGCGGAUGGAGCUGAAAUCAGUCGAAGAUACCAGCUGGCUGCAACUGUUUAUUAAAAACACAGCACUGUGCAAACACGAAAGUGGACGUAUACGGUGUGACGCCUGCCCGGUGCCGGAAGGUUAAUUGAUGGGGUUAGCGCAAGCGAAGCUCUUGAUCGAAGCCCCGGUAAACGGCGGCCGUAACUAUAACGGUCCUAAGGUAGCGAAAUUCCUUGUCGGGUAAGUUCCGACCUGCACGAAUGGCGUAAUGAUGGCCAGGCUGUCUCCACCCGAGACUCAGUGAAAUUGAACUCGCUGUGAAGAUGCAGUGUACCCGCGGCAAGACGGAAAGACCCCGUGAACCUUUACUAUAGCUUGACACUGAACAUUGAGCCUUGAUGUGUAGGAUAGGUGGGAGGCUUUGAAGUGUGGACGCCAGUCUGCAUGGAGCCGACCUUGAAAUACCACCCUUUAAUGUUUGAUGUUCUAACGUUGACCCGUGAUCCGGGUUGCGGACAGUGUCUGGUGGGUAGUUUGACUGGGGCGGUCUCCUCCUAAAGAGUAACGGAGGAGCACGAAGGUUGGCUAAUCCUGGUCGGACAUCAGGAGGUUAGUGCAAUGGCAUAAGCCAGCUUGACUGCGAGCGUGACGGCGCGAGCAGGUGCGAAAGCAGGUCAUAGUGAUCCGGUGGUUCUGAAUGGAAGGGCCAUCGCUCAACGGAUAAAAGGUACUCCGGGGAUAACAGGCUGAUACCGCCCAAGAGUUCAUAUCGACGGCGGUGUUUGGCACCUCGAUGUCGGCUCAUCACAUCCUGGGGCUGAAGUAGGUCCCAAGGGUAUGGCUGUUCGCCAUUUAAAGUGGUACGCGAGCUGGGUUUAGAACGUCGUGAGACAGUUCGGUCCCUAUCUGCCGUGGGCGCUGGAGAA
RNAcentral lists this ribosomal RNA (2635 nucleotides) under Escherichia coli. RNAcentral's name for it is "partial 23S ribosomal RNA". It matches the Rfam family "Bacterial large subunit ribosomal RNA". The record is from RNAcentral. Lineage: Bacteria; Pseudomonadati; Pseudomonadota; Gammaproteobacteria; Enterobacterales; Enterobacteriaceae.